Molecule: ribosomal RNA, 1446 nt
Filed under: uncultured organism
Description: 16S ribosomal RNA
Rfam family: Bacterial small subunit ribosomal RNA
Source: RNAcentral
CAGGCUUAACACAUGCAAGUCGAGGGGCAGCAUGGUCUUAGCUUGCUAAGGCCGAUGGCGACCGGCGCACGGGUGAGUAACACGUAUCCAACCUGCCGUCUACUCUUGGACAGCCUUCUGAAAGGAAGAUUAAUACAAGAUGGCAUCAUGAGUCCGCAUGUUCACAUGAUUAAAGGUAUUCCGGUAGACGAUGGGGAUGCGUUCCAUUAGAUAGUAGGCGGGGUAACGGCCCACCUAGUCUUCGAUGGAUAGGGGUUCUGAGAGGAAGGUCCCCCACAUUGGAACUGAGACACGGUCCAAACUCCUACGGGAGGCAGCAGUGAGGAAUAUUGGUCAAUGGGCGAGAGCCUGAACCAGCCAAGUAGCGUGAAGGAUGACUGCCCUAUGGGUUGUAAACUUCUUUUAUAAAGGAAUAAAGUCGGGUAUGGAUACCCGUUUGCAUGUACUUUAUGAAUAAGGAUCGGCUAACUCCGUGCCAGCAGCCGCGGUAAUACGGAGGAUCCGAGCGUUAUCCGGAUUUAUUGGGUUUAAAGGGAGCGUAGAUGGAUGUUUAAGUCAGUUGUGAAAGUUUGCGGCUCAACCGUAAAAUUGCAGUUGAUACUGGAUAUCUUGAGUGCAGUUGAGGCAGGCGGAAUUCGUGGUGUAGCGGUGAAAUGCUUAGAUAUCACGAAGAACUCCGAUUGCGAAGGCAGCCUGCUAAGCUGCAACUGACAUUGAGGCUCGAAAGUGUGGGUAUCAAACAGGAUUAGAUACCCUGGUAGUCCACACGGUAAACGAUGAAUACUCGCUGUUUGCGAUAUACAGCAAGCGGCCAAGCGAAAGCGUUAAGUAUUCCACCUGGGGAGUACGCCGGCAACGGUGAAACUCAAAGGAAUUGACGGGGGCCCGCACAAGCGGAGGAACAUGUGGUUUAAUUCGAUGAUACGCGAGGAACCUUACCCGGGCUUAAAUUGCAGAUGAAUUACGGUGAAAGCCGUAAGCCGCAAGGCAUCUGUGAAGGUGCUGCAUGGUUGUCGUCAGCUCGUGCCGUGAGGUGUCGGCUUAAGUGCCAUAACGAGCGCAACCCUUGUUGUCAGUUACUAACAGGUUCCGCUGAGGACUCUGACAAGACUGCCAUCGUAAGAUGUGAGGAAGGUGGGGAUGACGUCAAAUCAGCACGGCCCUUACGUCCCGGGCUACACACGUGUUACAAUGGGGGGUACAGAGGGCCGCUACCACGCGAGUGGAUGCCAAUCCCCAAAACCUCUCUCAGUUCGGACUGGAGUCUGCAACCCGACUCCACGAAGCUGGAUUCGCUAGUAAUCGCGCAUCAGCCACGGCGCGGUGAAUACGUUCCCGGGCCUUGUACACACCGCCCGUCAAGCCAUGGGAGCCGGGGGUACCUGAAGUGCGUAACCGCGAGGAGCGCCCUAGGGUAAAACUGGUGACUGGGGCUAAGUCAUAACA